UCCGUAGGUGAACCUGCGGAAGGAUCAUUAUUGAAUAUGAUUGGUACUGAUGCUGGCUCUUAACUGAGCAUGUGCUCGUCCAUCUAUUUAUCUUCUCUUGUGCACAUUUUGUAGUCUUGAACGUACCUCUCGCAGUCAAAUGCGGUUUGGGAGCUUGGGCGCAAGCCCCUCUCCUGCUUCUUCAAGGCUAUGUUUUCAUAUACACUAUAAAGUUACAGAAUGUCUUUUAACGAUUGCGCUUGUCGUAGUCAUUAAACCUAUACAACUUUCAGCAACGGAUCUCUUGGCUCUCCUAUCGAUGAAGAACGCAGCGAAAUGCGAUAAGUAAUGUGAAUUGCAGAAUUCAGUGAAUCAUCGAAUCUUUGAACGCACCUUGCGCCCUUUGGUAUUCCGAAGGGCAUGCCUGUUUGAGUGUCAUUGAAUUAUCAACCUUGCUCGCUUUUACCGGCUUGAGUUAGGCUUGGACUUGAGGGUUUGCUGGCUUCCUUCAGUGGAUGGUCUGCUCCCUUUAAAUGCAUUAGUGGGAUCUCUUGUGGACCGUCACUUGGUGUGAUAAUUAUCUAUGCCACUUGACCUUGAAGCAAACCUUAUGGGAACCCGCUCAUAACCGUCUUCGGACAACUUUUGACAUUUUGACCUCAAAUCAGGUAGGACUACCCGCUGAACUUAAGCAUAUC
RNAcentral lists this ribosomal RNA (677 nucleotides) under uncultured Mycena. RNAcentral's name for it is "eukaryotic LSU rRNA". The stretch from base 264 to 417 matches the Rfam family "5.8S ribosomal RNA". The record is from RNAcentral. Lineage: Eukaryota; Fungi; Basidiomycota; Agaricomycetes; Agaricales; Tricholomataceae.